This is a non-coding RNA of Parascedosporium putredinis, 87 nucleotides long. The record is from the annotation of a GenBank genome assembly. Lineage: Eukaryota; Fungi; Ascomycota; Sordariomycetes; Microascales; Microascaceae.
GGUUGAGUGGCGCAAUGGUAGCGCGUUGCUUUCCGGUCUUCACUUGGAAGUUGGCAAAGGUUCUGGGUUCGAGUCCCAGCUUGAUCG